This 253-nucleotide ribosomal RNA is filed under the name uncultured bacterium. RNAcentral describes it as "partial 16S ribosomal RNA". It matches the Rfam family "Bacterial small subunit ribosomal RNA", at positions 524 to 776 of the family's 1533-position model. The record is from RNAcentral.
UACGAAGGGGGCGAGCGUUGUUCGGAUUUACUGGGCGUAAAGGGCGCGCAGGCGGCUCAUUUUGUCAGGCGUGAAAGCCCCGGGCUUAACCUGGGAACUGCGUUUGAUACGGAUGGGCUAGAGUUCGGGAGAGGAGCGUGGAAUUCCCAGUGUAGAGGUGAAAUUCGUAGAUAUUGGGAAGAACACCGGUGGCGAAGGCGGCGAUCUGGGUCGAUACUGACGCUGAGGUGCGAAAGCGUGGGGAGCAAACAGG